Molecule: ribosomal RNA, 506 nt
Filed under: uncultured eukaryote
Lineage: Eukaryota
Description: bacterial SSU rRNA
Rfam family: Eukaryotic small subunit ribosomal RNA
Source: RNAcentral
UAGUUAUAUGCUUGUUCUAAAAAUUACCCCUUGCAUGUGUCGAAAUAUGUCUGUAUAAACAAAUCUGCAAACGGCUCAUUAUAACAGUGAUUGCAUAAUUGACUUUCUUAAACGGAUAACCGGGGAAAACUAAGGCUAAUACAACCCAAUUUUGCCAAAUUUCAUUCUGUGCUGUAUUUCUUGUGUUAUAAGUCCAAGGCGCUCUGCGUGUUCAAUGAAACGCAGGAACUUUUCAAGUCAAAUAAUCAAUGCGUCAAAGUGGUUUCUGACCUAUCACCUUUCAACGGUAGGGUAUUGGCCUACCGGGGCAAUGACGGGAAACGGGAAAUUAGGGUUUGAUUCUGGAAAGGGAGCCUGAAAAAUGGCUACCACGUCUAAGGAUGGCACCAGGCGCGCAAAUUACCCAAUCCUGAAACAGGAAGGUAGUGACAAAAAAUAGCACCGCAAAGCAUUUGCUUUUUGAUUGCAAUGUGAAUCUUCCAAAUUUUGCUUCAAGAAUCAAUUGA